Molecule: ribosomal RNA, 1258 nt
Filed under: metagenome
Description: bacterial LSU rRNA
Rfam family: Bacterial large subunit ribosomal RNA
Source: RNAcentral
CAUUCUAAGGCGCUUGAGAGAACUCUGGAGAAGGAACUCGGCAAAUUGACACCGUAACUUCGGAAGAAGGUGUGCCUCUAGUAGGUGAUCCAUUUGCUUGGUGAGCCCAAUAAGGCCGCAGAGAAUCGGUGGCUGCAACUGUUUAUAAAAACACAGCACUCUGCAAAGACGAAAGUCGACGUAUAGGGUGUGACUCCUGCCCGGUGCUGGAAGAUUAAAUGAUGGGGUGCAAGCUCUUGACUGAAGUCCCAGUAAACGGCGGCCGUAACAAUAACGGUCCUAAGGUAGCGAAAUUCCUUGUCGGGUAAGUUCCGACCUGCACGAAUGGAGUAAUGAUGGCCACACUGUCUCCUCCAGAGACUCAGCGAAGUUGAAAUGUUUGUGAUGAUGCAAUCUCCCCGCGGAAAGACGGAAAGACCCCAUGAACCUUUACUGUAGCUUUACAUUGGACUUUGAACAGAUCUGUGUAGGAUAGGUGGGAGGCUUUGAAGCGGUGCCGCUAGGUGUCGUGGAGCCAACGUUGAAAUACCACCCUGGUGUGUUUGAGGUUCUAACCUUGGCCCGUUAUCCGGGUUGGGGACAGUGUAUGGUGGGCAGUUUGACUGGGGCGGUCUCCUCCCAAAGCGUAACGGAGGAGUUCGAAGGUACGCUAGGCACGGUCGGAAAUCGUGCUGAUAGUGCAUUGGCAUAAGCGUGCUUGACUGCGAGACUGACAAGUCGAGCAGGUACGAAAGUAGGACAAAGUGAUCCGGUGGUUCUGUAUGGAAGGGCCAUCGCUCAACGGAUAAAAGGUACUCUGGGGAUAACAGGCUGAUACCGCCCAAGAGUUCAUAUCGACGGCGGUGUUUGGCACCUCGAUGUCGGCUCAUCUCAUCCUGGGGCUGUAGCCGGUCCCAAGGGUAUGGCUGUUCGCCAUUUAAAGAGGUACGUGAGCUGGGUUUAAAACGUCGUGAGACAGUUUGGUCCCUAUCUUCCGUGGGCGCUGCAAGAUUGAGAGAGCCUGCUCCUAGUACGAGAGGACCGGAGUGGACGCACCUCUGGUGUAUCGGUUGUCACGCCAGUGGCAUCGCCGAGUAGCUAUGUGCGGAAGAGAUAACCGCUGAAAGCAUCUAAGCGGGAAACUCGUCUCAAGAUUAGUCUUGCCGGGGCCUUGAGCCCCCUAAAGAGUCGUUCGAGACCAGGACGUUGAUAGGCUGGGUGUGGAAGCUGAGUAAUCAGUUAAGCUAACCAGUACUAAUUGCUCGUGAGGCUUGACCCU